AGAUUUCGCCGCGUUUGGAUUUCACAGCUUGCUCGUCGAUGCAAUCUACGUGUCCCAUCGAUGCGAGACAAUGAAGCCGAUAGCUUAAUUCGAUACCAUGGAUGCAUUUGGAUGGACUGUAGUAAAUCUACAGUAGCAGCAGUUGUGAUCUAGAACUUGGACGGCUAGCGAUCUUUAUAGUUCGCCGCCAUCGCCGUCAUCAUCAUGAACCUUCAUGGGCUCGUAGCAAUAUACUGCACGGAUGCGUCAAAGCGCUUUAUAAUAUCUAAUCAUCCGUUCGAGGAACUCAUUCCUGUGAUGCCUGUGUAGCUUUCCUUCUCCGUAUGCGGGGUAUGUCCAUAGUCCAUUGCUUGAGGGUUGGUCUAUGUUGGUCUGCAAGUGUGAGGACCAUAGUUUAUUCUCCAGGUCGUUGGACGGCCAACCCACGCGCGCGGGCGGUCCUGCUACUUCGAAAGACCUUCGCAUGAUCUGGAGCUGCUACGCACGUUUCUGAAGCACCACUCAUCGUGUGUUGUUAAGGGAGCUUGGCUAAUGACCCCUCCACAGGGUUAUCCUUACGAAAGGGACUGGGUUUUACAAUGUGUUGUGUGAGUAUAUACAACUUGCUGUCACCACCUGGUUUGCCAUGAUCCUAUGGGGUCUCAGGUGCUUUGCGAAGCUGCACACGGACCUGGAUGAAAAGCGAAAGGUCUAUUUCGUUUCAUCAUACUCGAUCAUUCUUAGAUCUGUCAUGGUAAAGUUGAAGGCGCGGUUUGGUGAUUACUGGCGGAAUCCACGUCUUUUUGCUACACCCUCCGGGAAUGGUGUCGGACAAGCAAAAGGGUUAAACCAGGGGUUAAGAUGUGCCGGCAUACCCAUUGGAUGGGAAUGCCGAAACACACAACAUGCUACAUACCUGCGACGUCUUACUGCUGUGGUUUCGCCUCGGGGCGUGGACUUUGGAGGUUGUAGCCGACCCGGCGGUCAGUCGCGCCAAGUUUUGAAAGCUGGUGUAGGAUCUGUGGCAACCGUAAUGCAGUCGAAGAUGAGUUUUACGUGUUGCUAAAGAGUGACCCGCCUACGACGACCUAGGGUUUUAGGUGUACGCCAGAAUGAUAUCGAGGUGUACGCCAGAAUGAUAUCGAGUACGUGCACAAUAUAAGGUCUGUCAUGAUGAGGA
Molecule: long non-coding RNA, 1159 nt
Filed under: Volvox carteri
Lineage: Eukaryota; Viridiplantae; Chlorophyta; Chlorophyceae; Chlamydomonadales; Volvocaceae
Description: long non-coding RNA (VCAR_LNC002372)
Source: RNAcentral